GGGUAUAAGAGCAAUCUGGCCACGAUACCUGACCUAUCAAUUGCCAGUCAUCCUAUCAAUUGCCAGGGUUGACUCAGCUAUCCAGCUGGCUAGGGUAGUAUCCCCUUUGUCCGUCACCUCUCCAUAUGCAUCCCUUCCAAAGCUGCAAAGCUGCAUGCAAGGUCAAAGAGGACAACCUUCCCAGAAUAGAGGAGGACUGGGCUUCAGUCAAGGGUAUAGGAGUAGCUGUGAGGCUAGAACCCCCACUAACCAAAAUUAACUGGGACUCCAUCCCAUCCACCCAAAUAAAUCCUAAGUGACUGAACAAACUGCAGCUCGAACCCAGUCACGGUUG
This 334-nucleotide small nuclear RNA is filed under the name Microtus ochrogaster (prairie vole). Its description in RNAcentral is "7SK RNA (ENSMOCG00000011174.1)". It matches the Rfam family "7SK RNA". Rfam says of the family: 7SK was discovered as an abundant small nuclear RNA in the mid-70s but a possible function has only recently been suggested. Two independent studies have found that 7SK RNA binds the CDK9/cyclin T complex (known as elongation factor P-TEFb). The record is from RNAcentral. Lineage: Eukaryota; Metazoa; Chordata; Mammalia; Rodentia; Cricetidae.